GGUGGCGUGGUAGAGUGGCUAUACAAAGGACUGCAAAUCCUUGGACGUCGGUUCGAUUCCGGCCGCCACCUCCA
Molecule: transfer RNA, 74 nt
Filed under: Pseudobdellovibrionaceae bacterium
Lineage: Bacteria; Pseudomonadati; Bdellovibrionota; Bdellovibrionia; Bdellovibrionales; Pseudobdellovibrionaceae
Also listed under: 1 other name
Description: Bdellovibrionaceae bacterium tRNA-Cys
Rfam family: tRNA
About the family: Transfer RNA (tRNA) molecules are approximately 80 nucleotides in length. Their secondary structure includes four short double-helical elements and three loops (D, anti-codon, and T loops).
Source: RNAcentral